This 22-nucleotide non-coding RNA is filed under the name Mus musculus (house mouse). The record is from RNAcentral. Lineage: Eukaryota; Metazoa; Chordata; Mammalia; Rodentia; Muridae.
UAAUGCUACACUAUGAAAGGAC